UACAGAGGGGGCUAGCGUUGUUCGGAAUUACUGGGCGUAAAGGGCGCGUAGGUGGCCCGUUAAGUCGAACGUGAAAUCCCCGGGCUCAACCCGGGAACUGCGUCCGAGACUGGCAGGCUCGAAUCCGGGAGAGGGAUGUGGAAUUCCAGGUGUAGCGGUGAAAUGCGUAGAUAUCUGGAGGAACACCGGUGGCGAAGGCGGCAUCCUGGACCGGUAUUGACGCUGAGGCGCGAAAGCCAGGGGAGCAAACGGG
Molecule: ribosomal RNA, 253 nt
Filed under: uncultured bacterium
Lineage: Bacteria
Description: partial 16S ribosomal RNA
Rfam family: Bacterial small subunit ribosomal RNA
Source: RNAcentral